Molecule: ribosomal RNA, 465 nt
Filed under: uncultured bacterium
Lineage: Bacteria
Description: partial 16S ribosomal RNA
Rfam family: Bacterial small subunit ribosomal RNA
Source: RNAcentral
GACGAACGCUGGCGGCGUGCUUAACACAUGCAAGUCGAACGGAAAGGCCCCCUUGUGGGGUACUCGAGUGGCGAACGGGUGAGUAACACGUGAGUAACCUACCCUUGACUUUGGGAUAACUUCAGGAAACUGGGGCUAAUACCGGAUAGGAGCUCCUGCUGCAUGGUGGGGGUUGGAAAGUUUCGGCGGUUGGGGAUGGACUCGCGGCUUAUCAGCUUGUUGGUGGGGUAGUGGCUCACCAAGGCUUUGACGGGUAGCCGGCCUGAGAGGGUGACCGGCCACAUUGGGACUGAGAUACGGCCCAGACUCCUACGGGAGGCAGCAGUGGGGAAUAUUGCACAAUGGGCGGAAGCCUGAUGCAGCAACGCCGCGUGCGGGAUGACGGCCUUCGGGUUGUAAACCGCUUUCGCCUGUGACGAAGCGUGAGUGACGGUAAUGGGUAAAGAAGCACGGGCUAACUACGUG